UACGUAGGGGGCAAGCGUUGUCCGGAUUUAUUGGGCGUAAAGAGCUCGUAGGCGGUUUGGUAAGUCUGGUGUGAAAUCUCCACGCUCAACGUGGAGGGGCCACCCGAUACUGCCAUGACUGGAGUCCGGUAGAGGAGUGUGGAAUUCCCGGUGUAGCGGUGAAAUGCGCAGAUAUCGGGAGGAACACCCGUAGCGAAGGCGGCACUCUGGUACGUGACUGACACUGAGACGCGAAAGCGUGGGGAGCGAACAGG
This 254-nucleotide ribosomal RNA is filed under the name uncultured bacterium. RNAcentral describes it as "partial 16S ribosomal RNA". It matches the Rfam family "Bacterial small subunit ribosomal RNA", at positions 524 to 776 of the family's 1533-position model. The record is from RNAcentral.